GACGAUACUGGCUCCCGAUGGCGCGCGAUGCCCCGGUGGUACCCUCGCGGUGCCACAGCGAGCGGCACACCGCCAUCGGCGAACGUUCCGGUGAUGUAGUCGUGCACUUCUCCCCUAGUAGAACGUCGCGACCCGUUGCGCGUCGGUCUACGGCCCGAGUGGGCGCCUGUGGCGUCGCAAUUUUGCGCACGCGGCAGACCCUCGGUCGCCCGGCCGGCUGCGCGACGGUACUCGUACGGUAUCGGGCCGCAACCAAUCCAUUUUCGAAUGUAUGUGCGUCUAGCCCGCCGCAAGCUCGGUCAGACUACCCGGUGGUACGGACUUUGCGCCGGCGCCGGGCCUGGCCAGCUGUUAGCAGGCGGUGUCCUCGGACUGGCCAAGCUUCGAAUUACCGGUCGGCGACGCUACUGCUUUGGGUACUCUCAGGACCCGUCUUGAAACACGGACCAAGGAGUCUAACAUGUGCGCGAGUCAUUGGGAUUUAUCAUAACCUAAAGGCGAAAUGAAAGUGAAAGUCU
This 518-nucleotide ribosomal RNA is filed under the name Xylocopa ruficollis. Its description in RNAcentral is "partial 28S ribosomal RNA". The record is from RNAcentral. Lineage: Eukaryota; Metazoa; Arthropoda; Insecta; Hymenoptera; Apidae.